Prunus mume (Japanese apricot) is the source of this 81-nucleotide non-coding RNA. NCBI's taxonomy places the organism in Eukaryota, Viridiplantae, Streptophyta, Magnoliopsida, Rosales, Rosaceae. The record is from the annotation of a RefSeq genome assembly.
GAGGUUCGAGUCCUCUUCAAGGCAUAAUAUUGAAUAUUGAGAAUGCUCAUUGACUUGGAAUAAGUUCGGCAGCGGAUCACG